Long non-coding RNA from Oncorhynchus keta (chum salmon), 904 nucleotides. RefSeq lists it as uncharacterized. NCBI's taxonomy places the organism in Eukaryota, Metazoa, Chordata, Actinopteri, Salmoniformes, Salmonidae. The record is from RefSeq and is a predicted model, not a curated record. The transcript has 3 exons.
UGCACUUUGGUAGUGUGGGGAACAGGAAGUUCCGGUAGGCGCACACCAUUCUUUAGAAUUUAGAAAACGUUUAAACUGUGCUGUCCGUUUCUCUUUAUUACUACAGGCCAACUCAGAUUAAAUCUGAGGUUUGUAACAUCAACAGUGAGGACAAACCCAACCUGUCUCUCUCCUUCCACACUGAAUCCAAACCUACGGUCACUGGGUCCUGAUUGUGACAGUGGAGCCCAGUUUGCGCUGCAGGAUCCAGAGAUGACAUCAGUGAAGCUGGAAGACUGCAGUCAAACACUGGAGCUGAAUGCCAACAUUAAAGAUGAAGAAGAGGAGGAGACGAUUGGGAAAUCUGUUCAUCAUGCUUUCAGUAGAAAACAAGAGACUGCCGUUGCAGUGGGCUAAGGAAUGAAAACACUGGACACUGGAGAAAUUUAAAAAACAUUGCCUGGUCUGAUGAAUCCCGGUUCCUGCUGUUUCAUGAUGAUGGGAGGACUAUGGGGCUUAGGGUGUGUUUUCAGGGCUCACAUUGGGCCCCUUGAUAAAAGUUGAACAAUGUUUGAAUGCCACAGGAUAUCUAAACAUCAUUACCAAUCUGGUGCCUCCCUUCACGGCAGUUGUGUAUCCAUCUGCAAAUAGAUUUGCAGGAUUAUGCCCCAUGCCACAAGGCUUGUCCAGGAAUGGUUCCAAGAACAUGACAAUGAAUUCAGUUUACUGCAGUGGCCUGACGAGUCAUCAGAUCUCAAUCCAAUUGUUCAUCUGUGGGAGGAGAUGGAAGGAGCUAUUCGGAGUAGAGAUCCACUCCCAGCCACAUUGACACAAUUGUGGGAAGCAUUGGAGUCAACAUGGGCCAGCAUCCCUGUGAACACUCUCAACACCUUGGACAGUCUAUGCCCCGACGACUUGAGGCUGU